CAAUUGGGAUGACGUCUAGCUCAUUUUUACCUCUAAUCAGAUACUGAAUCAUUUUUUCUGUGUAAUUCCCAAAAUCCACUAUCUCAUCAUCAGUUACUGGAUUGCUAUCUAGAGUUGGCAGAUGUUUAAAUGGUGCUACCACAUAGCAAGGUUUAAGAAAUGGUGCUACCACAUAGCAAGGUUUAAGAGCAACGUCUGCUGACCACAUCUCAGUCACCUUCGCAUUAAUUUGUUUGAUCUCUUUUAAUAUUGCAGGAAGUGAGCAAAAAAUAUGCCAAAAAACAUUAUAGUGAGCAAGAAUAGAGCCAAUGGCAACUUCAGCUUCAUAUGCCAAAUUGAUAGUACGCCUGUGAAGAUCUUAAAGAAUUUCAUGUUCAUGGUGCACCUUGGCGACAUCUCUGAAAAUGGAUGAUAAAGAUGACAGAUCCUUCUCUAAAAUGGAUGCAAGAGCUGAUAGCUCUUUCUCCAAAUUCUCCAAAAGAGGU
This 485-nucleotide long non-coding RNA is filed under the name Solanum tuberosum (potato). RNAcentral describes it as "long non-coding RNA (STUB_LNC009491)". The record is from RNAcentral. Lineage: Eukaryota; Viridiplantae; Streptophyta; Magnoliopsida; Solanales; Solanaceae.